UACGUAGGGUGCAAGCGUUGUCCGGAAUUAUUGGGCGUAAAGAGCUCGUAGGCGGUCUGUCGCGUCUGCUGUGAAAACUCGGGGCUUAACCCCGGGCCUGCAGUGGGUACGGGCAGACUGGAGUGCGGUAGGGGAGACUGGAAUUCCUGGUGUAGCGGUGAAAUGCGCAGAUAUCAGGAGGAACACCGGUGGCGAAGGCGGUUCUCUGGGCAUGUCCUGACGCUGAGGAGCGAAAGUGUGGGGAGCGAACAGG
This 253-nucleotide ribosomal RNA is filed under the name uncultured bacterium. RNAcentral's name for it is "partial 16S ribosomal RNA". It matches the Rfam family "Bacterial small subunit ribosomal RNA", at positions 524 to 776 of the family's 1533-position model. The record is from RNAcentral.